Molecule: ribosomal RNA, 407 nt
Filed under: uncultured bacterium
Lineage: Bacteria
Description: bacterial SSU rRNA
Rfam family: Bacterial small subunit ribosomal RNA
Source: RNAcentral
UGAGGAAUAUUGCACAAUGGGCGCAAGCCUGAUGCAGCAACGCCGCGUGAGGGACGACGGCCUUCGGGUUGUAAACCUCUUUUGGCAGGGAAGAAGCGAAAGUGACGGUACCUGCAGAAAAAGCACCGGCUAACUACGUGCCAGCAGCCGCGGUGAUACGUAGGGUGCAAGCGUUGUCCGGAAUUAUUGGGCGUAAAGAGCUCGUAGGCGGUUUGUCGCGUCUGCUGUGAAAACCCGAGGCUCAACCUCGGGCCUGCAGUGGGUACGGGCAAACUAGAGUGCGGUAGGGGAGAUUGGAAUUCCUGGUGUAGCGGUGGAAUGCGCAGAUAUCAGGAGGAACACCGAUGGCGAAGGCAGAUCUCUGAGCCGUAACUGACGCUGAGGAGCGAAAGCAUGGGGAGCGAACA